This 371-nucleotide ribosomal RNA is filed under the name uncultured organism. RNAcentral's name for it is "partial 16S ribosomal RNA". It matches the Rfam family "Bacterial small subunit ribosomal RNA", at positions 527 to 896 of the family's 1533-position model. The record is from RNAcentral.
GUAGGUGGCAAGCGUUGUCCGGAAUUAUUGGGCGUAAAGCGCGCGCAGGCGGUUCUUUAAGUCUGAUGUGAAAGCCCACGGCUCAACCGUGGAGGGUCAUUGGAAACUGGAGAACUUGAGUACAGAAGAGGAAAGCGGAAUUCCACGUGUAGCGGUGAAAUGCGCAGAGAUGUGGAGGAACACCAGUGGCGAAGGCGGCUUUCUGAUCUGUAACUGACGCUGAGGCGCGAAAGCGUGGGGGAGCAAACAGGAUUAGAUACCCUGGUAGUCCACGCCGUAAACGAUGAGUGCUAAGUGUUAGGGGGUUUCCGCCCCUUAGUGCUGCAGCUAACGCAUUAAGCACUCCGCCUGGGAGUACGGCCGCAAGGCUG